CCUACGGGCGGCAGCAGUGGGGAAUAUUGGGCAAUGGGCGCAAGCCUGACCCAGCAAUGCCGCGUGAAGGAAGAAGGCUUUCGGGUUGUAAACUUCUUUGACAGGGGGAGAGCAGAAGACGGUACCCUGAAAGCAAGCCACGGCUAACUACGUGCCAGCAGCCGCGGUAAUACGUAGGUGGCAAGCGUUGUCCGGAUUUACUGGGUGUAAAGGGCGUGUAGCCGGGAAGGCAAGUCAGAUGUGAAAUCUGGAGGCUCAACCUCCAAAUUGCAGUUGAAACUGGCAAACUGGAGUGUGUGAGAGGAUAGUGGAAUUCCAGGUGUAGGAGUGAAAUCCGUAGAUAUCUGGAGGAACAUCAGUGGCGAAGGCGACUAUCUGGCACAUAACUGACGCUGAGGAGCGAAAGCGUGGGUAGCAAACAGGAUUAGAUACCCCUGUAGUC
Molecule: ribosomal RNA, 442 nt
Filed under: uncultured bacterium
Lineage: Bacteria
Description: partial 16S ribosomal RNA
Rfam family: Bacterial small subunit ribosomal RNA
Source: RNAcentral